Molecule: long non-coding RNA, 1186 nt
Organism: Rhea pennata
Lineage: Eukaryota; Metazoa; Chordata; Aves; Rheiformes; Rheidae
Exons: 3
Source: RefSeq, a predicted model, not a curated record
GUCAGUAGGACAAGCAUAAUGCGGAGGUGGCAGUCUGCAGACCUGCAGCAUUUCUCCUACACCCUGACUGGAAGCUUUAAGCUGCCUCCUUGACAUGAGCUGGAGGACAGAGCCCUGAGGCCACUGCGGGAGACUUCAGCUUCCAGCACCACUGUGCUAUGGGUUAAGGACUCACCUCCUGUGUAGUAGCCAUAGGCGUAGAGGACUCUCCCGAGGAUCCAGGCAAUGCCAAGCCCUGUGGCAAUUCGCUAGAUAGAAAGGAGAAGAAUUAAAGGUUUCAAGGAUCUGCAUCUUGCACCUGCUCAGCUGUUUGGAUAGCAGCCCUGCUUCAAGAGGAGACCACCAACUACGGUGUGGGUCCUUACCCAGCUAGGACAACUGGGAGUGAGCCUGGGAAAGCUUUUACAGACUUCUCUGGUAUACGCGUGAACAAACACACGUCUGUCGCCCGUUAGCCUGCGCCUCUGCGUCCACUCUUGCCUAUUUGGGGCCUAUGGAUUAGAGAUCCAGCUGGUGUCGGACGGAGAAGCCAGCGUCUGGCACGUGGAGUUGCUGUGUGUUUUCGUGCAAGCAGAUACCUCCCUAGGCAAAUGGCAGUGUUAGGCAAAUGACAGGAUCUUCUUUGCACCUCCCUUUAUUCUGGUCUGUAUAUACACUUUGGUAUCAAAACACAAGUCAUUUCCAAGAUUCCAGCUUCAGCGAUAUAUGAUACAAACCUUAAAAUUCAGGAGGACUUUCUAGGUCUGUAAGGGGACAAACAUGCAAAAUGUUCCUAAACCAGUGGCGGUGUAGUGGGGUCCCACUGCAGGAGGACAGAUGGCAUCUUUUCACCGUUGCUGGUGUAAGAAAGGAAGAAAACAGGACCCGGUGGGAUCCCAGGUUCCUGAAAGCCCUAAAUGAGCAAAACGCUUCAGCCCGUGCUAAUCCAGCAUGAUUGAGGCCCGCUCCGAGCAGUCCUUAGGGUCGGGACCAAACCUACCUGCUGAUGCCAGUUGUGCUGCAUGAAGGAUCCGGGUGCUCGUCUGCACAGGGCAGGUGUUGGCAUUGCCCCUCGCUGGCCUGCAAGGGGCUCGUGGGGCGCUCAGGAGAAUCCGAGAAGUACCUGCUACAGGAAUUAGACGCCUCUGGAAUUUUAGCGACUGGUCAAAAUCCUCAUUCAGGCAAUUAAAUCGAUUUUUGGAUCCAA